RNAcentral lists this ribosomal RNA (213 nucleotides) under uncultured Streptococcus sp. RNAcentral's name for it is "partial 16S ribosomal RNA". It matches the Rfam family "Bacterial small subunit ribosomal RNA", at positions 1170 to 1382 of the family's 1533-position model. The record is from RNAcentral. Lineage: Bacteria; Bacillati; Bacillota; Bacilli; Lactobacillales; Streptococcaceae.
GAAGUGGGGAUGACGUCAAAUCAUCAUGCCCCUUAUGACCUGGGCUACACACGUGCUACAAUGGUUGGUACAACGAGUUGCGAGUCGGUGACGGCGAGCUAAUCUCUUAAAGCCAAUCUCAGUUCGGAUUGUAGGCUGCAACUCGCCUACAUGAAGUCGGAAUCGCUAGUAAUUGCGGAUCAGCACGCCGCGGUGAAUACGUUCCCGGGCCUU